RNAcentral lists this ribosomal RNA (2920 nucleotides) under Bacillus cereus VD196. RNAcentral describes it as "bacterial LSU rRNA". It matches the Rfam family "Bacterial large subunit ribosomal RNA". Lineage: Bacteria; Bacillati; Bacillota; Bacilli; Caryophanales; Bacillaceae. The record is from RNAcentral.
UUAAGUUAGAAAGGGCGCACGGUGGAUGCCUUGACACUAGGAGUCGAUGAAGGACGGGACUAACGCCGAUAUGCUUCGGGGAGCUGUAAGUAAGCUUUGAUCCGAAGAUUUCCGAAUGGGGAAACCCACCAUACGUAAUGGUAUGGUAUCCUUAUCUGAAUACAUAGGGUAAGGAAGACAGACCCAGGGAACUGAAACAUCUAAGUACCUGGAGGAAGAGAAAGCAAAUGCGAUUUCCUGAGUAGCGGCGAGCGAAACGGAACAUAGCCCAAACCAAGAGGCUUGCCUCUUGGGGUUGUAGGACAUUCUAUACGGAGUUACAAAGGAACGAGGUAGACGAAGCGACCUGGAAAGGUCCGUCGUAGAGGGUAACAACCCCGUAGUCGAAACUUCGUUCUCUCUUGAAUGUAUCCUGAGUACGGCGGAACACGUGAAAUUCCGUCGGAAUCUGGGAGGACCAUCUCCCAAGGCUAAAUACUCCCUAGUGAUCGAUAGUGAACCAGUACCGUGAGGGAAAGGUGAAAAGCACCCCGGAAGGGGAGUGAAAGAGAUCCUGAAACCGUGUGCCUACAAAUAGUCAGAGCCCGUUAACGGGUGAUGGCGUGCCUUUUGUAGAAUGAACCGGCGAGUUACGAUCCCGUGCGAGGUUAAGCUGAAGAGGCGGAGCCGCAGCGAAAGCGAGUCUGAAUAGGGCGUUUAGUACGUGGUCGUAGACCCGAAACCAGGUGAUCUACCCAUGUCCAGGGUGAAGUUCAGGUAACACUGAAUGGAGGCCCGAACCCACGCACGUUGAAAAGUGCGGGGAUGAGGUGUGGGUAGCGGAGAAAUUCCAAUCGAACCUGGAGAUAGCUGGUUCUCCCCGAAAUAGCUUUAGGGCUAGCCUUAAGUGUAAGAGUCUUGGAGGUAGAGCACUGAUUGGACUAGGGGUCCUCAUCGGAUUACCGAAUUCAGUCAAACUCCGAAUGCCAAUGACUUAUCCUUAGGAGUCAGACUGCGAGUGAUAAGAUCCGUAGUCAAAAGGGAAACAGCCCAGACCGCCAGCUAAGGUCCCAAAGUGUGUAUUAAGUGGAAAAGGAUGUGGAGUUGCUUAGACAACUAGGAUGUUGGCUUAGAAGCAGCCACCAUUUAAAGAGUGCGUAAUAGCUCACUAGUCGAGUGACUCUGCGCCGAAAAUGUACCGGGGCUAAAUACACCACCGAAGCUGCGGAUUGAUACCAAUGGUAUCAGUGGUAGGGGAGCGUUCUAAGGACAGUGAAGUCAGACCGGAAGGACUGGUGGAGUGCUUAGAAGUGAGAAUGCCGGUAUGAGUAGCGAAAGACGGGUGAGAAUCCCGUCCACCGAAUGCCUAAGGUUUCCUGAGGAAGGCUCGUCCGCUCAGGGUUAGUCAGGACCUAAGCCGAGGCCGACAGGCGUAGGCGAUGGACAACAGGUUGAUAUUCCUGUACCACCUCUUUAUCGUUUGAGCAAUGGAGGGACGCAGAAGGAUAGAAGAAGCGUGCGAUUGGUUGUGCACGUCCAAGCAGUUAGGCUGAUAAGUAGGCAAAUCCGCUUAUCGCAAAGGCUGAGCUGUGAUGGGGAAGCUCCUUAUGGAGCGAAGUCUUUGAUUCCCCGCUGCCAAGAAAAGCUUCUAGCGAGAUAAAAGGUGCCUGUACCGCAAACCGACACAGGUAGGCGAGGAGAGAAUCCUAAGGUGUGCGAGAGAACUCUGGUUAAGGAACUCGGCAAAAUGACCCCGUAACUUCGGGAGAAGGGGUGCUUUCUUAACGGAAAGCCGCAGUGAAUAGGCCCAAGCGACUGUUUAGCAAAAACACAGCUCUCUGCGAAGCCGUAAGGCGAAGUAUAGGGGGUGACACCUGCCCGGUGCUGGAAGGUUAAGGAGAGGGGUUAGCGUAAGCGAAGCUCUGAACUGAAGCCCCAGUAAACGGCGGCCGUAACUAUAACGGUCCUAAGGUAGCGAAAUUCCUUGUCGGGUAAGUUCCGACCCGCACGAAAGGUGUAACGAUUUGGGCACUGUCUCAACCAGAGACUCGGUGAAAUUAUAGUACCUGUGAAGAUGCAGGUUACCCGCGACAGGACGGAAAGACCCCGUGGAGCUUUACUGUAGCCUGAUAUUGAAUUUUGGUACAGUUUGUACAGGAUAGGCGGGAGCCAUUGAAACCGGAGCGCUAGCUUCGGUGGAGGCGCUGGUGGGAUACCGCCCUGACUGUAUUGAAAUUCUAACCUACGGGUCUUAUCGACCCGGGAGACAGUGUCAGGUGGGCAGUUUGACUGGGGCGGUCGCCUCCUAAAGUGUAACGGAGGCGCCCAAAGGUUCCCUCAGAAUGGUUGGAAAUCAUUCGUAGAGUGCAAAGGCAUAAGGGAGCUUGACUGCGAGACCUACAAGUCGAGCAGGGACGAAAGUCGGGCUUAGUGAUCCGGUGGUUCCGCAUGGAAGGGCCAUCGCUCAACGGAUAAAAGCUACCCCGGGGAUAACAGGCUUAUCUCCCCCAAGAGUCCACAUCGACGGGGAGGUUUGGCACCUCGAUGUCGGCUCAUCGCAUCCUGGGGCUGUAGUCGGUCCCAAGGGUUGGGCUGUUCGCCCAUUAAAGCGGUACGCGAGCUGGGUUCAGAACGUCGUGAGACAGUUCGGUCCCUAUCCGUCGUGGGCGUAGGAAAUUUGAGAGGAGCUGUCCUUAGUACGAGAGGACCGGGAUGGACGCACCGCUGGUGUACCAGUUGUUCUGCCAAGGGCAUAGCUGGGUAGCUAUGUGCGGAAGGGAUAAGUGCUGAAAGCAUCUAAGCAUGAAGCCCCCCUCAAGAUGAGAUUUCCCAUAGCGUAAGCUAGUAAGAUCCCUGAAAGAUGAUUAGGUUGAUAGGUUCGAGGUGGAAGCAUGGUGACAUGUGGAGCUGACGAAUACUAAUAGAUCGAGGACUUAACCAU